GAUGAACGCUGGCGGCGUGCCUAAUACAUGCAAGUCGAGCGAACGGACGAGAAGCUUGCAUCUCUGAUGUUAGCGGCGGACGGGUGAGUAACACGUGGAUAACCUACCUAUAAGACUGGGAUAACUUCGGGAAACCGGAGCUAAUACCGGAUGAUAUUUUGAACCGCAUGGUUCAAAAGUGAAAGACGGUCUUGCUGUCACUUAUAGAUGUAUCCGCGCUGAUUUAGCUAGUUGUUAAGGUAACGGCUUACCAAGGCAAGAUACCAUAGCCGACCGGGGAGGGGGACCGGCAAAACGGGAACGGAGACACGGUCCAAACUCCUACGGGAGCAAGCAGAAGGAAAUUUUCGGAAAUGGGCGAAAUCCGAACGGAGCAACGCCGCGUGAUGGAUGAAGGUCUUCGAAUCUUAAAACUUUGUUAUUAGGGAAGAACAUAUGUGUAAGUAACUGUGCACAACUUGACGGUACCUAAUCAGAAAGCCACGGCUAACUACGUG
Molecule: ribosomal RNA, 497 nt
Filed under: uncultured bacterium
Lineage: Bacteria
Description: partial 16S ribosomal RNA
Rfam family: Bacterial small subunit ribosomal RNA
Source: RNAcentral